CCACCGCGGUUAUACGAAAGACCCUAGUUAAUAGCCACGGCGUAAAGGGUGGUUAGGGAAUAUAAUAAAUAAAGCUAAAGACCCUCUAAGCCGUCAUACGCACUCCGAGGGCACGAAGCCCACACACGAAAGUAGCUUUACGCCCCCCGACUCCACAAAAGCUAAGAAACAAACUGGGAUUAGAUACCCCACUAUGCUUAGCCAUAAACCUUGAUGUAAUUUUACACACACAUCCGCCAGGGUACUACGAGCACAGCUUAAAACCCAAAGGACUUGGCGGUGUCUCAGACCCACCUAGAGGAGCCUGUUCUAGAACCGAUACCCCUCGUUAAACCUCACCACUUCUUGUUUCCCCCGCCUAUAUACCGCCGUCGUCAGCUUACCCUGUGAAGGCCUAACAGUAAGCAAAAUGGGCCCGCCCAAAAACGUCAGGUCGAGGUGUAGCGUACGAAGUGGGAAGAAAUGGGCUACAUUUUCUAAAACAGAAUAUUACGAACAGCACCCUGAAAACAAGUGCUAGAAGGUGGAUUUAGUAGUAAAAAGCAAAUAGAGAGUCCUUUUGAAUUAGGCUCUGAGACGCGCACACACCGCCCGUCACUCUCCCCUACCUUAACCCAUUACACAUAAAUAAUGCCACAACCAAAACCACGGGGAGGCAAGUCGUAACAUG
RNAcentral lists this ribosomal RNA (670 nucleotides) under Kryptopterus bicirrhis (glass catfish). RNAcentral's name for it is "partial 12S ribosomal RNA". It matches the Rfam family "Bacterial small subunit ribosomal RNA", at positions 512 to 1495 of the family's 1533-position model. Lineage: Eukaryota; Metazoa; Chordata; Actinopteri; Siluriformes; Siluridae. The record is from RNAcentral.